UACGUAGGGUGCAAGCGUUGUCCGGAAUUAUUGGGCGUAAAGAGCUCGUAGGCGGUUUGUUGCGUCGGCUGUGAAAUCCCGAGGCUCAACCUCGGGUCUGCAGUCGAUACGAGCAAACUAGAGUGUUGCAGGGGAGACUGGAAUUCCUGGUGUAGCGGUGAAAUGCGCAGAUAUCAGGAGGAACACCUGCGGCGAAGGCGGGUAGCUGGGCCGACACUGACGCUGAGGCGCGAAAGCCAGGGGAGCGAACGGG
RNAcentral lists this ribosomal RNA (253 nucleotides) under uncultured bacterium. RNAcentral's name for it is "partial 16S ribosomal RNA". It matches the Rfam family "Bacterial small subunit ribosomal RNA", at positions 524 to 776 of the family's 1533-position model. The record is from RNAcentral.